RNAcentral lists this transfer RNA (64 nucleotides) under Curculionidae sp. 7 AH-2016. RNAcentral describes it as "tRNA-Ile". The record is from RNAcentral. Lineage: Eukaryota; Metazoa; Arthropoda; Insecta; Coleoptera; Curculionidae.
AAUGAAAUGCCUGAUAAAAGGAUUAUCUUGAUAGGAUAAAAUAUGAAGAUCUCUUCUUUCAUUG